RNAcentral lists this long non-coding RNA (1857 nucleotides) under Rattus norvegicus (Norway rat). RNAcentral's name for it is "long non-coding RNA NONRATT026198". Lineage: Eukaryota; Metazoa; Chordata; Mammalia; Rodentia; Muridae. The record is from RNAcentral.
UGAGAAGCACCUUUUGGAAAAUCCUGUGCCAACCAGAAGUGGACCAAACUGUGCACAGGUCAGUGUCAUGUCUUCACCAAGCAGCUAAGAGCACCUGACACCUUAGUGGUGGUCAGGUAGUAUUGUUGGCAAAAGGCAAGGAGAAGCACCAUUUUAGGUCAUAGCAACAGGGCUGUUUCAUUGUCUUUUUAUUUAAAAGUUUGCCAGUUGGGGUCAAAUAGGAAAACCCUGCAGUUCUCUGUGGAGAGGGAGAAAUAAUACUCUCCUCCUCUCUCACCUCUUCCUCCAACCCAAACCCAGCUGCAAAUCCAUUUAUUCGGUGAAGACGGAUGCUUCAACCCUGGGUCACAGGUCACCCUGGCAGUGGUGAGGGCAGAGCAGAGGUAGGUAACCCUCGGUAGGUGACCCUCGGGGCUCCUUGGCCGGCAGAGGGCACUGGGGCAUCUUCCCCAGGCCCCUGGGACUCAGCUGUGCUUCAAGUCACACACAGAGCCUGGAUUCAGGCCCUGAAGACCAGGGAGUGGUUGACCCUUUCCUGGUAAAAUUACUUUGGGAAAUUUCACUUUAAAAAUAAAAAAGGCACAGCUAGCUCUUUUGUCAAGCCUGAAACUAAGUGUACCUCACAACAGAUGAACGCCACUUGGCACCCUUUCUAGGAAGACAUCAGUAUUAUCCACAUUAAAUGUCACGAUGCUUUCUGCACUGAAUGAAAAAAAAAGUAUCUUCAUAGCUCUCUCUUAAAUACUGUGAUUUCUGUUUGUUUUGUUUUAACACUCUGAUACAAUUCAUUGACUAGCUUGUGACAAUGUGUCUAAUCACCAGCACCUAGACUCUUCUAAGUCAGGGUUCAGUACAGCGUAUGUUCAGAGCUGGACACAGCGAGCGAGCCAGCGAGGGGAAGCCCAAAUAGACAGCUGCCCAGGGGUGUGCACCCCUUACCUGUCACUGCCCCUGAGCUGUGCGCACGAUCUCCUCCCAAGGUGUGAAUCUGCUCUGUUAGUCACUUUGGAAAAAAAAAAACCAAAAAACAAGUGCGAGUCAAUCUGUUUAUAUCUCUCUCUGCCAGCUUGGUUUUCCUGAACCCUGGCUGGAAAUACCAACCUUACAUCAGUGUUUCUAUCGAGGCUACAGAGUAGGCCUGUUGGAUUAAUAGCUCUCCACUGAAAAUUGUUAGCUAUGAAUUAUUACCAAAGAACUGUGGCGAUCUGAGCUGUUCCAUUGAGUCUCCGUGUCAUUUCCCAUGUCCUGGCCACAUUUCUUCUUGGCAAUGUCUUCCUAACUCCCUACAAGGUAUACAACGGCACCAUCACAUUGGAACCCUAGGGGAGAGGGUCUGACAGACACACAGGAGGACAAGCACAUUUCCAAAGCAAGGUCUGAGACCUGCUUCCUGCCACCUACUCACUAAUGUCCUUGGUGCCAUCCUCUCAGACCUGGGAGCUUGCAGCCCUUCACCCCUGUGAUACUAACAGGCCUGAAUAAGACUUGUCGAGCCGGUACCAGCAUCCUCACACACACACCCCAACCCCCAGCUUGUUGUAGAUACAGGGCUCGCCAGGACAUCAGGAAUCAGGGUGAACACAGAAGGGCAAAUAGAAUUUUCUAGUCACAUGAGCUGAUUGGUUCCGGGCAAUUAGAAAAUGGCUAUAACUUAAUCUUAAUUUAAAAAAAAAAUCGAGUCUUCGUUUUCUCCGUAGGAGACCGAACUGACUGUAUGCAUUGAUUUAUAUCCUGAAUUUAUGGGAACCUGUAUGUUUGGAACAUCCUACUGUAAGCUGAGGAAUGUAAAGAGUUAAUUUCAGGGUACAGUUUUGCCUUAAUGGUUUUAAAAAUAAAUAAACUAUUUUUAAAAAUUAA